Molecule: microRNA precursor, 75 nt
Organism: Petromyzon marinus (sea lamprey)
Lineage: Eukaryota; Metazoa; Chordata; Hyperoartia; Petromyzontiformes; Petromyzontidae
Gene: pma-mir-205a
Product: pma-mir-205a
Source: Ensembl
UUUCCGACGUCCUUCAUUCCACCGGAGUCUGUCAGGCUUAAACGACAGAUUUCGGGGGAUGAAGUGCAUCGGUCG